GUAUAGAUUGUACAUUCCAGUGAAAAAUGUUUUCGUUUAUUGUAAAUAUUUUAUCUAUUGACAGGUCCAACUAGCAGGUUACAUGUUUUUAUAUAUAUAAAUAUCAGGGGAAGUUCUGUCAGUUUUCUUGGUCAUAUCCAUCUCUAUAGUUUUGGGUUGGGUGUGACAAUUUUUGGUAUCAGAGCUUAGGUUUAUAGAUUCUGUAGACUUUCCUCGAGUCAGUAUAGUAAUAGAAGUCGGGGCCGUAGUGUUCGUACAGCUAGAUUAGUUGAUAUUGGUCGACCUCAUAGGGAUCCUACAGUUACACCUCCACCUCUAGAAGGGGUGGCAGAUCAUGUUUUACUUGAGAGCGAAGAAGGGCAUGAAGAUUCUGCUUCUCAUGGUGGUGAAUCAAGAAUAUACUCGACCACAGCCUAGUCAGAGUUCAGUAGCACAACCAGUGGGUAGUUCCUUUGGGGCACAAAAACGUGGGCAAGGAUAUAAUUUUGGGUUUGAACAAAGGAAGAAACAUUUUCCUCAAUGUGUCACCUGUGGAAAAUAUCAUGCGGGGGAGUGCAGAAAAUUUGAUAGGGGUUGAUUUGAAUGUGGUUCUUCGGGGCAUUUUAAGAAAGAUUGUCCAUUGCUGAUAGCCAGAGACAGUGGUUCUCAGCAAGGAUCAGUGGCGCCUCAGAAUCUAAGGUAUGGUGUGACACCAUCACAAGGUGUACCUAUAGCACAAGUUGG
This 723-nucleotide long non-coding RNA is filed under the name Manihot esculenta (cassava). Its description in RNAcentral is "long non-coding RNA (MESC_LNC006829)". The record is from RNAcentral. Lineage: Eukaryota; Viridiplantae; Streptophyta; Magnoliopsida; Malpighiales; Euphorbiaceae.